GGAUGAAGAGGGGACCUAAGUUUCAUUGCAGAUGAUGGGCAUGGUGCUCUGACAUAAUCUAUUGCUUAACAAAAAUUGAUUUACCAUAAUGAUAAAGGUAUUUCAGGAUGAGAUCAGCAUUUGAAUUGGUGGACUCAGUAACCAGUUUACCCUCCUCAAGAUGGAUAAAUACAACUAAACUAUCACUAACUGAUUCACAGAAAAACUGCUGACUACCAAAGACAAAAUCUGAAAAGUAUUUAGGUAGGAGCGCUUUUCUUUCAGGAGUACAAAGAUAAGACUCCAUUCUUCGCUCUCAACAGAAGCAUUGAAAGGAAAAGGCAAUGGAAUGACGUAUUCAAAGUGCUUCAAGAAAAUAACUGCCAAUUUAGAUUUCUAUACUCAAUGGAAAUUUCCUCCAAAAAAUUGUUGGGGUCAGAUCUACUCUGAAGUAAUAAUAAGGACAACUCUUCAUUACAAGGAAAGAUAAGGGCAACAGAGUUCUCUCUAGACCUCCCAACUUCUCUGGAAGGGAGGUGGCAGAAAGAGGUGGGAGAGGAGCUGCAGUAUACGAAUGGAGAUACAGAGGCUGACUCCACGUCCAUCUAAUGCAGGGUCUCAACGUCAUGACUGGCACUCCUAUUUCUAAGAAAAUUUUAAGCAUGCACCCCCAAAGUACAUCUUUUUAUUCAUUUCUUUCUAGGCAAUGCCUAUCUCCAUGGAACCAUUGGUCCAAAUACUCAAGUUCAACUGGAAUUAUGCUCUAAGGUAUAGACAUAUGUUGUACUCAACCAUCACAAGUGAAGAAAAUGAUAAAUGAUAAAGUUAUGAGACUGAGCUUAGCAUUAAAUGUUUUGGUCUCUGUACCUCCUUGUAAGUGAACAGAAAUGCGUGGGACAAAUGGGUAAAAUUCAUCCUCUCAAAACAGGUAGGGAGCAAGCAUUUAUUUAAAACUCAAUAAUUCCUUUUGUUUCACUUCAGUUUAUAUUUAUUUGUAUUAAAUUUGAAUUAAAUUAGAAUCAAUUGCAAGUGUUUAAAAUAGUAAGUAUAAUAUGACCCAGUAUUAUAAAAAUAUUUCUAUUUACCCAUUCUCUCAAGGUAGCUUUACCUGAACUAUCAGUGAUUAUGAUUUCUGAGUUGUAGGAUUUGGUUUGGUUUUCCUUUGCUGUUUUGUUUGUUUUAACUUUCUGCCUCUACUCUUCUGUAUUACUUAAAAUAUCUU
This is a long non-coding RNA of Canis lupus familiaris (dog), 1201 nucleotides long. RefSeq lists it as uncharacterized. The transcript has 4 exons. The record is from RefSeq and is a predicted model, not a curated record. NCBI's taxonomy places the organism in Eukaryota, Metazoa, Chordata, Mammalia, Carnivora, Canidae.